RNAcentral lists this ribosomal RNA (253 nucleotides) under uncultured bacterium. Its description in RNAcentral is "partial 16S ribosomal RNA". It matches the Rfam family "Bacterial small subunit ribosomal RNA", at positions 524 to 776 of the family's 1533-position model. The record is from RNAcentral.
UACAGAGACUGCAAGCGUUAUUCGGAUUCACUGGGCGUAAAGGGUGCGCAGGCGGCCAAGUGUGUUAGGCGUGAAAGCCCGGGGCUUAACCCCGGAAUUGCACCUAAAACUACUUGGCUAGAGCAUUGGAGAGGGUAGCGGAAUUCACGGUGUAGCAGUGAAAUGCGUAGAUAUCUGGAAGAACACCAAUGGCGAAGGCAAUGUUCUGGCUCGUUUCUGACGCUCAGGUGCGAAAGCCAGGGGAGCGAACGGG